This 497-nucleotide ribosomal RNA is filed under the name uncultured bacterium. RNAcentral's name for it is "partial 16S ribosomal RNA". It matches the Rfam family "Bacterial small subunit ribosomal RNA", at positions 28 to 507 of the family's 1533-position model. The record is from RNAcentral.
GAUGAACGCUGGCGGCGUGCCUAAUACAUGCAAGUCGAGCGAACAGACGAGGAGCUUGCUCCUCUGACGUUAGCGGCGGACGGGUGAGUAACACGUGGAUAACCUACCUAUAAGACUGGGAUAACUUCGGGAAACCGGAGCUAAUACCGGCUAACAUGUUGAACCGCAUGGUUCAACAGUGAAAGACGGUCUUGCUGUCACUUAUCGAUGGAUCCGCGCCGCAUUAGCUAGUUGGUAAGGUAACGGCUUACCAAGGCAACGAUGCGUAGCCGACCUGAGAGGGGGAUCGGCCACACGGGAAGGGAGACAUGGUCCAGGCGCCUGCGGGAGGGAGCAGUAGGGAAUCUUCCGCAAAGGGCGAAAGCCUGACGGAGCGACGCCGAGUGAGUGAAGAAGGUCUUCGGAUCGUAAAACUCUGUUAUUAGGGAAGAACAAAUGUGUAAGUAACUAUGCACGUCUUGACGGUACCUAAUCAGAAAGCCACGGCUAACUACGUG